This 529-nucleotide long non-coding RNA is filed under the name Gallus gallus (chicken). The record is from RNAcentral. Lineage: Eukaryota; Metazoa; Chordata; Aves; Galliformes; Phasianidae.
CUUGGACUAACCCAGAACACAGGAAUGCCACCAAGAUGGUGAAGUCAUCCCAGGUGUGGAAAAUCCAGCUGCUCCUUGCUGUUAGGUCUGAGACUCACAUGCCUGGACUGAGGUUUAGGUGCAGAAGCAGUGUCAUCGCCCUGUUUUCUUCCUCUGGGAAGAACUCUUAUAAAUGGAGUUAAGUCUGCAAGGUAAUUCAGACCCAAGUUUCUUCCGUGGAAACUACUGAGGCGGCUUGCUAAUAUUUUUUCCUUCUGCAAAUGUGUUUUUGAAGUGUGGUUGUCCUGUCGUUUAUAGAAACGUAUUGCAACUAUUAAUGCCCUGCAGUCAACCAGAAAGCCUGCAGAGCACACAGAAAGGUAUGAGUUGAGGGUGAAAGAAACAUCUCUUCAAAUGAAGCAAGACCCCUUUUCUGAAGGGGUGAGUAGUAUGAUGUGGAGUCUAAGGGCAUUACUAACUGCAGAAAUAAUCCAGUCAGCCUUGAGGUGAGAUGCUGUUAGUAAUAUCAGUCUCCUGAGGUACCCAUUCC